UUGGCUAAUGUGUCUUGGCUAAUGUGUCUUGGCUAAUAUGUCUCGGCUAAUGUGUCUUGGCUAAUGUGUCUUGGCUAAUGUGUCUUGGCUAAUGUGUCUUGGCUAAGGUGUCUUGGCUAAUGUGUCUUGGCUAAUGUGUCUUGGCUAAUGUGUCUUGGCUAAGGUGUCUUGGCUAAUGUGUCUUGGCUAAGGUGUCUUGGCUAAGGUGUCUUGGCUAAGGUGUCUUGGCUAAGGUGUCUUGGCUAAUGUGUCUCGGCUAAAGUGUCUUGGCUAAGGUGUCUUGGCUAAGGUGUCUUGGCUAAGGUGUCUUGGCUAAGGUGUCUUGGCUAAUGUGUCUCGGCUAAGGUGUCUCGGCUAAAGUGUCUUGGCUAAUGUGUCUCGGCUAAGGUGUCUUGGCUAAUGUGUCUCGGCUAAGGUGUCUCGGCUAAAGUGUCUUGGCUAAGGUGUCUCGGCUAAGGUAUCUUGGCUAAUGUGUCUUGGCUAAGGUGUCUUGGCUAAGGUGUCUUGGCUAAGGUGUCUUGGCUAAUGUGUCUUGGCUAAUGUGUCUUGGCUAAGGUGUCUUGGCUAAGGUGUCUUAUCUAAUGUGUCUUGGCUAAAGUGUCUUGGCUUAGGUGUCUUGGCUUAGGUGUCUUGGCUAAUGUGUCUUGGCUAAUGUGUCUUGGCUAAGGUGUCUUGGCUAAUGUGUCUUGGCUAAGGUGUCUUGGCUAAAGUGUCUUGGCUAAGGUAUCUUGGUCAAUGUGUCUUGGCUAAGGUGUCUUGGCUAAUGUGUCUUGGCUAAUGUGUCUUGGCUAAUGUGUCUUGGCUUAUGUGUCUUGGCUAAGGUGUCUUGGCUAAUGUGUCUUGGCUAAUGUGUCUUGGCUAAGGUGUCUUGGCUAAUGUGUCUUGGCUAAGGUGUCCUGGCUAAGGUGUCUUGGCUAAGGUGUCUUGACUAAUGUGUCUCGGCUAAGGUGUCUUGGCUAAUGUGUCUCGGCUAAGGUGUCUUGGCUAAAGUGUCUUGGCUAAGGUGUCUUGGCUAAUGUGUCUUGGCUAAAGUGUCUUGGCUAAGGUGUCUUGGCUAAUGUGUCUCGGCUAAGGUGUCUUGGCUAAGGUGUCUUGGCUAAGGUGUCUCGGCUAAUGUGUCUUGGCUAAGGUGUCUUGGCUAAGGUGUCUUGGCUAAGGUGUCUUGGCUAAUGUGUCUCGGCUAAGGUGUCUUGGCUAAUGUGUCUUGGCUAAGGUGUCUUGGCUAAUGUGUCUUGGCUAAGGUGUCUUGGCUAAUGUGUCUUGGCUAAUGUGUCUCGGCUAAAGUGUCUUGGCUAAGGUGUCUUGGCUAAGGUGUCUUGGCUAAGGUGUCUUGGCUAAUGUGUCUUGGCUAAGGUGUCUUGGCUAAGGUGUCUUGGCUAAUGUGUCUUGGCUAAAGUGUCUUGGCUAAGGUGUCUUGGCUAAUGUGUCUUGGCUAAGGUGUCUUGGCUAAGGUGUCUUGGCUAAUGUGUCUUGGCUAGUGUGUCUUGGCUAAUGUGUCUUGGCUAAGGUGUCUUGGCUAAGGUGUCUUGGCUAAUGUGUCUUGGCUAAGGUGUCUUGGCUAAUGUGUCUUGGCUAAGGUGUCUUGGCUAAGGUGUCUUGGCUAAGGUGUCUUGGCUAAUGUGUCUCGGCUAAGGUGUCUUGGCUAA
Long non-coding RNA from Anopheles funestus (African malaria mosquito), 1646 nucleotides. RefSeq lists it as uncharacterized. NCBI's taxonomy places the organism in Eukaryota, Metazoa, Arthropoda, Insecta, Diptera, Culicidae. The record is from RefSeq and is a predicted model, not a curated record. The transcript is spliced from 3 exons.